This 460-nucleotide ribosomal RNA is filed under the name uncultured bacterium. RNAcentral describes it as "partial 16S ribosomal RNA". It matches the Rfam family "Bacterial small subunit ribosomal RNA", at positions 338 to 795 of the family's 1533-position model. The record is from RNAcentral.
CCUACGGGUGGCAGCAGUGAGGAAUAUUGGUCAAUGGACGAGAGUCUGAACCAGCCAAGUAGCGUGAAGGAUGACUGCCCUAUGGGUUGUAAACUUCUUUUAUAUGGGAAUAAAAUGUUCCACGUGUGGGAUUUUGUCUGUACCAUAUGAAUAAGGCUCGGCUAACUCCGUGCCAGCAGCCGCGGUAAUCCGGAGGAUCCGAGCGUUAUCCGGAUUUAUUGGGUUUAAAGGGAGCGUAGGUGGAUUGUUAAGUCAGUUGUGAAAGUUUGCGGCUCAACCGUAAAAUUGCAGUUGAAACUGGCAGUCUUGAGUACAGUAGAGGUGGGCGGAAUUCGUGGUGUAGCGGUGAAAUGCUUAGAUAUCACGAAGAACUCCGAUUGCGAAGGCAGUUCACUGGACUGCAACUGACACUGAGGCUCGAAAGUGUGGGUAUCAAACAGGAUUAGAUACCCGGGUAGUC